AGUGAACGCUGGCGGUAGGCCUAACACAUGCAAGUCGAACGGUAACAGGUCUUCGGAUGCUGACGAGUGGCGAACGGGUGAGUAAUACAUCGGAACGUGCCUAGUAGUGGGGGAUAACUACUCGAAAGAGUGGCUAAUACCGCAUGAGAUCUACGGAUGAAAGCAGGGGAUCGCAAGACCUUGUGCUACUAGAGCGGCCGAUGGCAGAUUAGGUAGUUGGUGGGAUAAAAGCUUACCAAGCCGACGAUCUGUAGCUGGUCUGAGAGGACGAUCAGCCACACUGGGACUGAGACACGGCCCAGACUCCUACGGGAGGCAGCAGUGGGGAAUUUUGGACAAUGGGCGAAAGCCUGAGCCAGCAAUGCCGCGUGCAGGAUGAAGGCCUUCGGGUUGUAAACUGCUUUUGUACGGAACGAAAAGCCCCGGGUUAAUACCCUGGGGUCAUGACGGUACCGUAAGAAUAAGCACCGGCUAACUACGUGCCAGCCGCCGCGGUAA
Molecule: ribosomal RNA, 498 nt
Filed under: uncultured bacterium
Lineage: Bacteria
Description: partial 16S ribosomal RNA
Rfam family: Bacterial small subunit ribosomal RNA
Source: RNAcentral